This 858-nucleotide long non-coding RNA is filed under the name Salmo salar (Atlantic salmon). Its description in RNAcentral is "lncRNA (ENSSSAG00000099831.1, ENSSSAG00020061516.1)". Lineage: Eukaryota; Metazoa; Chordata; Actinopteri; Salmoniformes; Salmonidae. The record is from RNAcentral.
AUAAUAUAUGCUAAAAAAAAGGUGUUUUAAUAGCUUAUUAAUCUAUACAAUAUAUAACUUCCCCUUUAAACAAUACCAUUUACUUCUGCUCCAUAUCUUCCCAGAGUUGCUUCAUCUUCUACUUGGUGGACUACAAGCCCCUCAGGUUUAAAUGGUGGUACGUGUAGCCAGACUGGGCCUUUGCACUGGGCUGGGCCAUGGCCCUCUCCUCCAACCUCCUGGUGCCACUGUGAUCGAUUGGCAGGAUCUAUGUUGGCACAGGCCGCCUCAGGCAGGAAGGUGAGAAGAUAUACACACGGCGAAUGGAAGGAGAAAGUCUCCCAUGUCUCUCAUUUUACAAGCUUCCAGUUCCCUUAGAUGUAGCAGCAGAAAAUGGUGUUGUCCUCAAAGGGAGUUUUUGUUUUUGCACAAGACAUGAUUAUAUACAAAAUAAACACCACUUACACAAGAAUAGACAAUUAUUUAAAUUUCUUUAAUAAAAUGACAGUUUCAAUAAGUCACACAAUCUCACCGGUAUAGUGAAAAACAAGUCAUAUUCUACUCAUAGGCCUACAGAAUGAAGACAUUUUACUGUUGAAAAUGAGAGAGAAAAUGUUUGUUAUAAAACCCCACUGUUCACUGUAACCUAUUACAUGCCCUUACGGACUUAGGCUAUUGGAUAAUGAUAAUUUAAAAUGGUUAGGAUAGUUCACACUCUCACUGGAUUAGUGAAGGCCAUGUCCCAUACCACUCAUACACUAAGGCAUUUUUUAUUGUGGAAAUUAACAUUUGGGCUAGUCGUUUUGAAAUUCUUGUGGUAAGGUGCUGUGUCUCUGUAUAGGGCAAUGGCGAAAGUGUGUUGUAGAUAUUGGGGUGGAC